ACCUAUUGUUGUUCAUUUCUAAUAUAUAUGCUCACCUAGAUAUUUUGUUAUGUAUAGAUCAAACAGGUGGAAUGAAAUAAAUCCAUUCUUAUAAAUGGUCGUCGUGACAACCAAAGUAAAGUCUUCAGAGAAAGUGGACUUGUUUAAGGUUUAUCAGAUGUUUAAACUAUAACUGGGAAAAAAAAAUGGAAUUUAAACUGGCUUUGAAUGAAAGACUGCACAGAGUGAAAUCAAUAAGAGGUAAAAUUUGAUGUGAGGAGAGGAUAUUGAAAUUGUCAUUCUCCUAGUAAGAAGUGUAAAUCUGUAGCCAGAAGUGAAAAUCAGUUGUUUUUAAUAAACAAAGAAGAUGAUAGUGAAAAAUAACUAGUUUCUCCCUUCUGGAAUGAACUGGAUUUUCAAGAACAAUAGGACUAUGAUGUAGAACCAAAACCUUUUUAGAAUAGUUAUCCUGGGAUAAACAAGUUUGACUGGAAAAAGUAUUUUAUGCUCAUACCUAUUUCCAAAAUGCUGAUUGAUUUCAAGCCUCAUGCCAGUUCUGUUCCCGACCCAUAUGCUGCCUAGAAGAUCUUAAAAAAGUUCUCAAGAAGCAUCUAAAAACUGCACCCAAGUAUUGGCAUAAACACAAAAAUCCAAAUAGAUCUACGAUCAGACAUUUUUCCUCGACUAAUUCCGAUAAAACAGUUAAUGAUUGCAAGAAAAAUAUCCAAUUCAUGUGCGCCAUGAAUGUAAAUGUGAAGGAUCCAACAAACCAUAUAGACCCAAACCAUAGGAGAUAUCCUUAUCACUUGGCUAGGCGAGGGCCAAAACAAUCCUUAGUUUCAUACAAGUUCAGGGAUGCAUCAAGUGAAA
RNAcentral lists this long non-coding RNA (849 nucleotides) under Phoenix dactylifera (date palm). Its description in RNAcentral is "long non-coding RNA (PDAC_LNC017631)". Lineage: Eukaryota; Viridiplantae; Streptophyta; Magnoliopsida; Arecales; Arecaceae. The record is from RNAcentral.